UAGCACUUCAAACCUGCUCUUC
RNAcentral lists this non-coding RNA (22 nucleotides) under Rattus norvegicus (Norway rat). The record is from RNAcentral. Lineage: Eukaryota; Metazoa; Chordata; Mammalia; Rodentia; Muridae.